RNAcentral lists this ribosomal RNA (482 nucleotides) under uncultured bacterium. RNAcentral describes it as "partial 16S ribosomal RNA". It matches the Rfam family "Bacterial small subunit ribosomal RNA", at positions 30 to 507 of the family's 1533-position model. The record is from RNAcentral.
AUUGAACGCUGGCGGCAUGCUUUACACAUGCAAGUCGAACGGUAACAGGCCGCAAGGUGCUGACGAGUGGCGAACGGGUGAGUAAUGCAUCGGAACGUGCCCAGUCGUGGAGGAUAACUACUCGAAAGAGUAGCUAAUACCGCAUACGAUCUAUGGAUGAAAGCGGGGGACCGUAAGGCCUCGCGCGAUUGGAGCGGCCGAUGUCAGAUUAGGUAGUUGGUGGGGUAAAGGCUCACCAAGCCAACGAUCUGUAGCUGGUCUGAGAGGACGACCAGCCACACUGGGAUUGAGACACGGCCCAGACUCCUACGGGAGGCAGCAGUGGGGAAUUUUGGACAAUGGGCGCAAGCCUGAUCCAGCAAUGCCGCGUGCAGGAAGAAGGCCUUCGGGUUGUAAACUGCUUUUGUACGGAACGAAACGGCUCUGGUUAAUACCCGGGGCUAAUGACGGUACCGGAAGAAUAAGCACCGGCUAACUACGUG